GAGAGGGUCUAUAACCUAUUAGCUAGUUGGCAAGAUAAAAGCCUACCAAGGCGUAGAUGGGUAGCCGGCCUGAGAGGGUGAACGGCCACAUGGGCACUGAGACACGGGCCCAACUCCUACGGGAGGCAGCAGUAAGGAAUAUUGGGCAAUGGGCGAAAGCCUGACCCAGCGACACCGCGUGGAUGAUGAAGGUCUUCGGGUUGUAAAAUCCUAACACGCGUAGAGAAGGGUACAUCAAAUAAUACAUGGUGUAAUCGGACAAAGGCGCGAGAUGAAGUCAUUGCUAACUCUGUGCCAGCAGCAGCGGUAAUACAGAGAUGGCGACCGUUGUUCGGAAUCACUGGGCUUAAAGGGCAUGUAGGCGGAGAGAAAAGUUGAAAGUGAAAGCCCAUGGCUUACCCAUGGAAUAGCUAUCAAAACUAUCUCUCUUGAGUGAGGUAGGGGGGAGUGGAACUCCUGGUGGAGCGGUGAAAUGCGUUGAUAUCAGGAGGAACGCCGGAGGCGAAAGCGACUCUCUGGACCUCAACUGACGCUGAGGUGCGAAAGCUGGGGGAGCAAACGGGAUUAGAUACCCCGGUAGUCCCAGCUGUAAACGAUGAGUACUAGGUAGGGGAGGAAACUUCUCUGCUGAACAAAAGCAUUAA
Molecule: ribosomal RNA, 644 nt
Filed under: uncultured bacterium
Lineage: Bacteria
Description: bacterial SSU rRNA
Rfam family: Bacterial small subunit ribosomal RNA
Source: RNAcentral